GGAUCAUGGCAGCAACUGUCUGGAUCUGCACGGAGCCAGACACGCUGGUCUGAGUGGCACGGAGCUGGAUGCUAUCCUCGGUGAUGACCCCACCACCAUCACCAAGAUCCCCGUGGAUACUUCAGAGGGCACGGAGGUGGCAGAAAGAGGACCUAACCCGGAGGACAAAGUUAUUGAUGAAAAGGUGAAGUUAGAUGAGGAUGUGCAGCUCCCAGAGGGGUUCCCCGAUGGGACAGGCAGCCAGGAACUGUUCUCCACUCCAGAGGUGUCUAGCCAGCCUCAGCAGUUGCUUUCCGGCAAGCAAGAAGCAGGAGAUGAGACUCCUGAUGUGGCAUGACAGACUCAGGAACACCCCACACAUCCUGACUGAACAUCUCCACCAGAUAAGAAAGCACCCAAGACACAGCAAAGAAGAUUUGUUCCGGGAGGUCCUGCAGCAUUCCAAUGCAGAAAAAAAAAGGAACAAAAGGAGUGCUGGGAAGCUGAACGGCAGGACAGAAAAGAGAAUCACAUGUUUGUUAAGGAUGCUACCGAGCGGAUGAUUAAAGUGAUGGAGGAGCAAAUGCAGAUGCUGAAAUUCUCAAUAAUGCUGCAGACUGAGCAGAUCAGUGCUCAACCUCCACUGCAGCACAUUCAGAACUCUUUUCCAUGUCCUCUCCCAGACUCUGCCCACACAUUCCUUUCCACAUUCCAGGACUUUUUGGUUUCCCUUUCACAUGAUAGCGGGACCUACA
Long non-coding RNA from Mauremys reevesii (Reeves's turtle), 734 nucleotides. RefSeq lists it as uncharacterized. The transcript is spliced from 3 exons. The record is from RefSeq and is a predicted model, not a curated record. Lineage: Eukaryota; Metazoa; Chordata; Testudines; Geoemydidae.